ACGUAGGAGGCAAACGUUAUCCGGAUUUACUGGGCGUAAAGCGCGUGUAGGUGGUACUGUAAGUAGGGCGUGAAAGCUCCUGGCUCAACUGGGAGAGGACGUUCUAAACUACAGAACUAGAGGAUGGUAGAGGGAGGUGGAAUUCCAGGUGUACCGGUGCCUUGCUCUUAUCUCUGGAUCACCCCCUGUGUCUAUGUCGCCCUCCUGUCCCUUUCCUGCCCCUCCGACGCUAAAGCUACUGUAGCAAACUG
RNAcentral lists this ribosomal RNA (251 nucleotides) under uncultured prokaryote. RNAcentral's name for it is "partial 16S rRNA". It matches the Rfam family "Bacterial small subunit ribosomal RNA", at positions 525 to 775 of the family's 1533-position model. The record is from RNAcentral.